AAAAGAAAAUAAAGAUUUUCUCAUAUAAUAGCAGAAAUAGGGUCUGGAAGUUUCUACUUAGACUAUCAUAAAUAGUCUAACUAUGAGCAACAAUAUUUUGGAC
Molecule: non-coding RNA, 103 nt
Filed under: Garciella nitratireducens
Lineage: Bacteria; Bacillati; Bacillota; Clostridia; Eubacteriales; Eubacteriaceae
Also listed under: 1 other name
Description: Guanine sequence
Rfam family: Purine riboswitch aptamer
About the family: Riboswitches are metabolite binding domains within certain messenger RNAs that serve as precision sensors for their corresponding targets. Allosteric rearrangement of mRNA structure is mediated by ligand binding, and this results in modulation of gene expression.
Source: RNAcentral